RNAcentral lists this ribosomal RNA (495 nucleotides) under uncultured bacterium. Its description in RNAcentral is "partial 16S ribosomal RNA". It matches the Rfam family "Bacterial small subunit ribosomal RNA", at positions 28 to 507 of the family's 1533-position model. The record is from RNAcentral.
GACGAACGCUGGCGGCGUGCCUAAUACAUGCAAGUAGAACGCUGAAGGAGGAGCUUGCUUCUCUGGAUGAGUUGCGAACGGGUGAGUAACGCGUAGGUAACCUGCCUGGUAGCGGGGGAUAACUAUUGGAAACGAUAGCUAAUACCGCAUAAGAGUAGAUGUCGCAUGACAUUUGCUUAAAAGGUGCAAUUGCAUCACUACCAGAUGGACCUGCGUUGUAUUAGCUAGUUGGUGAGGUAACGGCUCACCAAGGCAACGCUACAUAACCGACCUGCUAGGGUGAUCAGCCACAUUGGGACGGAGACACGGCCCAGACUUGUACGGGAGGCAGCAGUAUGGGAGCUUCGGCGAUGGACUGAAAGCUGACCGAGCAACGCCGCGUGAGUGAAGAAGGUUUUCGGAUCGUAAAGCUCGGUUGUAAGAGAAGAACGGGUUUGAGAGUGGAAAGUGCACGCUGUGACGGUAUCUUACCAGAAAGGGACGGCUAACUACGUG